UACGUAGGGGGCAAGCGUUAUCCGGAUUUACUGGGUGUAAAGGGAGCGUAGACGGCGAAGCAAGUCUGGUGUGAAACCCCGGGGCUCAACCUCGGGCCUGCAUUGGAAACUGUUUUGCUUGAGUGCCGGAGAGGUAAGCGGAAUUCCUAGUGUAGCGGUGAAAUGCGUAGAUAUUAGGAGGAACACCAGUGGCGAAGGCGGCUUACUGGACGGCAACUGACGUUGAGGCUCGAAAGCGUGGGGAGCAAACAGG
RNAcentral lists this ribosomal RNA (253 nucleotides) under uncultured bacterium. Its description in RNAcentral is "partial 16S ribosomal RNA". It matches the Rfam family "Bacterial small subunit ribosomal RNA", at positions 524 to 776 of the family's 1533-position model. The record is from RNAcentral.